AUCCAGCUGACUAGUCCCAAAUAGGACGAAACGCGCGUGCUGGAU
Molecule: non-coding RNA, 45 nt
Organism: Schistosoma mansoni
Lineage: Eukaryota; Metazoa; Platyhelminthes; Trematoda; Strigeidida; Schistosomatidae
Source: Rfam